This 252-nucleotide ribosomal RNA is filed under the name uncultured bacterium. RNAcentral's name for it is "partial 16S ribosomal RNA". It matches the Rfam family "Bacterial small subunit ribosomal RNA", at positions 524 to 776 of the family's 1533-position model. The record is from RNAcentral.
UACGGAGGAUGCGAGCGUUAUCCGGAUUUAUUGGGUUUAAAGGGUGCGUAGGCGGAAUAUCAAGUCAGCGGUAAAAAUUCGGGGCUCAACCCCGUCGUGCCGUUGAAACUGAUGUUCUUGAGUGGGCGAGGAGUAUGCGGAAUGCGUGGUGUAGCGGUGAAAUGCAUAGAUAUCACGCAGAACUCCGAUUGCGAAGGCAGCAUACCGGCGCCCAACUGACGCUGAAGCACGAAAGCGUGGGUAUCGAACAGG